RNAcentral lists this ribosomal RNA (499 nucleotides) under Euphrosine foliosa. RNAcentral's name for it is "partial 16S ribosomal RNA". It matches the Rfam family "Bacterial large subunit ribosomal RNA", at positions 1817 to 2597 of the family's 2925-position model. Lineage: Eukaryota; Metazoa; Annelida; Polychaeta; Eunicida; Euphrosinidae. The record is from RNAcentral.
UGCUUCUUGAAUCCCUUAUAAGAAGUAAUUUCUGCCCAGUGAAUACUUAAACGGCCGCGGUACCCUGACCGUGCAAAGGUAGCAUAAUAGCUUGCCUUCUAAUUAAAGGCUUGUAUGAACGAACUAACGUGAGCUUAUCUGUCUCCUUUAUGCCUAAAUAACUUAACCUUUACGUGAAAAGGCGUAAAUAAAAUUAAUAGACAAGAAGACCCUGUCGAGCUUAAUUGUACUUUCUACCUAAGGAAUUUUUCACCCUUAUUAAACAACACUCAAUUUAGUUGGGGCAACAGAGGAACAUUCAAACCUUCCUCUCCAAACGAUAUACUCAUCUAAACUCUCCAAUUUAUUUGAAUUUAAAAUUAAAGCUACCGCAGGGAUAACAGGUUAAUUUUUCUCAAGAGUACACAUUAACAGAAAAGUUUUACACCUCGAUGUUGGCUUAGGCUAUCCUAUUAGUGCAGCAGCUAAUAAAGGCAGGUUUGUUCAACCUAAAAAGCCU